ACAAAGUCUGGCUCUGUCUGGUUUGAGUAGCUUGAUGGACUUGGUGGGCAGUUAGUGUUUGGUGAGUCUCCUGCAACGCUAAUACUAUGAACACUAUCAUUUUCGCUUUUGUCUUCGAGUUCACUUUUUCUGAAAGUAUGGGAGCUAAGGUCUCUUUGGUCGAAAAUUCUUGACAUGAUCUGAAUUCUUCUCCAGAAAGGAGUUUCAGAAUCAAAACGCAACAAGACAUGCCUUUGCUCAUAAAAAAAUAUUGCUACAAAUAUGAUUAGAGCUGAUAUUGAGGCGACUCCAGCAAUAAGGAACAAGCCCCCAAAACUCUCAACACCAAGACUGUUGGAAGAAACCAAAGUGUUGAGGUCAGGACAACUGCUUCCCUUAUUGAACCAGGCCUGUUCAAUUUGAUUCAUUUUUUCACCCUCAGUAACAUUUAGGAUUGCCCUGGAAACAUCUGCUACAAGAGGGGAACCUCUAGGGAAGACCUAUAAAUUACAAAAUAGUAUCAUCAUAAAGAAACAUCCCAUAUGGUUAGAGAGAAAAUUAGAGAUUAAGAGAGAACUCACAAAACCGAAGCCAUCAGUUCUCAAUUUUGGUUCGACUGCGGUAUAUUCGUCGCAAUAUUUGGCGAGAAAGAGCUUCAUAUAAGGAAUUUCGUCCAAAGUAGCAACAACCCCACCAUUGGCACUUCCUUUGGUAAAGAGAUCAUGAAGUUCUUCUGGGGACUGGUAUUCUAUGAGCUGGGAUUCAGGAAAUCUAAACUGACCCUUCAAGAUUCCUUCGAUAAAGGAGUCUUUCAGGAAACCAACCUUUUCCCCUUUCUUUAAGAGCUAUUGUAUGUCAGUUACCGUAGGUUGGAGCUGUUGCACAGUUAGAAGUGAAGUCAAACUAGCCGUGUAGCUUUGGGUGAGAAUGAGGACGACGAAACACCAUAUUAUUACCACGAAUCGAGCCAAGUUACUGACAACUCUCUCCCCUGCAAUUAUAAUCCAAGAAGCAAAGAAAGUAAACAAUCUGAAGUCAAUAGUACAACUUCGUAAAUAGAGAAGGUGAAAGAAUUAGUACGAUGUGCAAACACCAUGGUCGAGAAGGAGAACCAGAAACUCGUGCCAGCUUGAUGCGAAGGGGGUCCCCUGAAAUCUUCAUUUAUUCUGUGUUCUAGAACCCAAACAACAAAUCCGAUGAAAAGGAAAAAACAAGCACUUGUCACCCAGAGGUCCCAUGUCAGAGGUUUCAAGAAAACCCAUGCAUUCUUCCUCCUGUUAUCUCUGAUCGGUACAAACAUUGAUACACCUGAUUCAGUGUAUGGUAAUGUGAAGUCCACGUAUUGUGACCUGUUUGCCACAAUCGUUGUAUCUCCUACCACCGCAUCGUAUGUCUGUUCAUUUUUGCCAAAAAAAUUAAUGAAAAUUCCUGUUGACAAACUCAACGUAUAAAGAAGAUAAGGAGAUGUUUUACCCCAUUGUACACUUGAAAGAUUAAGUCAUCAUAAGUCCCGGCGCUCUUGCCAUAUGGUGUUGCAAAGGGAAUGAACUCAUAAGUAACAGCAUAAGGCAUUGCAGCCAUUACAGCAUCAAAAACAUCUAUGCAAUAUCCGGUGACUGAAGUAGCUGUAUGAGAAUUAGGAUCCCAUGUUACUUUAACAAAUUCACUGAAACCACGCUUCAUUGGAACCCCAAUCCUCAACUUCUUCUCAUUUGUUGGAAUCUCCCAGCCUUUUGGAGGAGAGGUGGUAUCCCCUGGCCAUAUGAUGGGGCCAAGAUUUGGCUUAUGAGUAGAAUUAGUGCUUCUGUUUGCCAAAUUCAAUUCUUUUACAAGUCCACUUUUUGGUGUCCAAAACCCGACUCUUCUUUCCCCAUUUCCAUUUACGUUAACAAUCUGAAAAACUGGUGAUUGUAGCUGUCCAUUAACAAAAUUAAUGUCUCCAGUAAGACCCUUGAAUUUAGUGCUUGACAAUGCUUGGAUAAGUUGUGGACCAUUUUGUGAGACGCCGAGAGAUUCAAGAUUUGUUCCACUGCUGGAAACAUUAGUUUUGUUGAAGCUGAAGUUUCCCAUGCUAACAUUCUCAAUUGCCAUGGCUAGUGCAAAAGUGGCAUCAUAAGCCCACGGUCCAAAAAUGUUCAACUCAGCAUUAAUAAUGGUGGGAUUGUCUUGCUGGAAUUUCCUUUUCCAUCGAACUUUAAAAUUUUCUAACUCAUUUGUUCCGGGAAAGUAAGUCCUUACACCUAAAACCCCUUGCAUGGAAUCGAUGGUUGGAGGGUCUGUUAAACUCCAAAGAUUAGUCAUUCCAUCUGUCACGAUCCAAGCAUAGCCUUUACUCAUCAUUCCAACCUCUUUCGCUAAUGCAAAAAGCCUGGUGCCGAGAAAUAGUGGCAUGUGCACAAUGAACACUCUUGUUUGCAUCGUCAAUAGCUUGUAAAGCUCUUCUGAAAUUUGGUCAUCGCUAGCCGGUGAAGGGAUGACACUCCGGUAUGGGACACGAACAUUGAUCCCUUGCAAGGCGUCUGUCAAGUAAGGUAUAAUACCCUCUCCAAAUUCAUCGUCUAUGUAGAUUGGCACAGCUUCUCUCCAUCCAAAGGCUACAACAAUUGUACUAAUGGCUUUCACUUUAGAUGAGUCAUUUUGUGUAGCUCGGAAAAAGUAUGGACUCCGAAGGGAGGUAAGAGAAGGGCUUGUUGCCGAAAAUGAAAUGAUUGGAACUUGAGAUUUGUUUCCGAGAUUGAUAAGAAAAUUGGCCUGCAUUGAAGUGUGCGGCCCUAUGAUUGCUUGCACUUGUACAUUUUUUAUCAAGUCAAGAGCUGUUUGUCAAGCAAACAAAAUUCUGACUUAAAUAUAGUUGCUGUAGCUGGAUAAUCCUAGAUUAUAUAUGCUCUGACUACUCGUUAACUAAAUCUAUAUAUGCUCUGACUACUCGUUAACUAAAUCUACAUAUGUCUCAUGCCAAUUAUAUUUUUGCAAUAUACACAUACUUCUCUAUGGUAAUAAUACCUAUCACUCCUUUUCUUUAAGUCAUUUUCAAGAUAAACUAGUACAAAUAUUUUAAUAGAUUUUAAGCCAAAUAUUCUCGAUACAGCUAGUCUCGAGUUCAUAGUAUAAAAAUAUAUAUAUAUAUAUAUAUAUAAAGUGAAGGCAAAUUGAUCAGUCACAAAAUCUAAGAUAUACUAUAUUUAGCCCUUUUAUAUUAUUUUAUUUCAAUAUAAUACAAGUUAUUCAUUUAAAUUUGAUUUUAUAUAUAAAAUUUUUUCAAACUUAUUUUAUAGAAGGAGAAUUCAAACUUAAUUUUUAUAAAAAAGAUAAAUUAAUAUAUAUAUAUAUAUUUGAGAAUCAAAUAAUCAAGUAAGUAAAUAUUUAUAUAUAUUUUUUAAUACCGUAAAUCUUUUCCACUUAAAUAUUUGACUUCUUUAUAAGUAUAUCUUUCAUCUACUUAAAUAUUUAUAUUUUUAAAUAUUUUUUUAAUGUAGUCCUUCAACAUCUCAAUUUUAUUCAAUUUAAUUCAUGUACUAUACAUUUUUAUUUAAUUUAAUCUCUAUGUUGUGACACAAAAAAUUUUUAAAAUUUUUUUAAUCUAUCACAUGGCACUGACACGCUAGCAUGUCAAUGUCACAUCAACAUAUUAGUGCCAUGUGGUACUACCACAUCAUCAUAUUAGUGCCACAUGGCAUGCCACAUCAUCAUAUGGGUGCCACAUCAUCAUUGAUAUCAAUGCUGAUAUCAUCAUUUUAACAAAAAAAAUUGGAUACUGUUAAAAGAGGGAUUAAAUUGAAAAAAUUCUCAAAAUCAAAAUAUUAAAUUAUUUCGAUUUUGAAUAUAGGGAUUGAAUUGAACAAAAUACAUAAAUAUAGGGACUUGUUGGAUGUUUUGAUUAAGGUUGAAAGUUAAGAUUUCUAAAAGUUUUUCAUAUAUAUCAACUUUUUUUUUCUGAAAAAAAGGAAAAGGAAAGUCACAUGGAGAGAGGUGACAGAGGAAACGCGUACCAGCAGCAGCGGCGCCAAUAACGUCCUUGGAGUCCCUGGGGUUCAAGACAAUCCUGGUUCUGUAGGAAGCAUGAGUGGCGUAAAAGUCAGAGAGGGCCAUGUUGAUGCAGCUCAACCCAAUCUUCCCAAGCUUUGUAUCCAAGUCAAGAACCACCCCCACAUUAACAGGGAUGCUAUUGUUGUUUUGUGCAACAACCACAUGCAUCAACAAAACCUUGCACGAAAUGACCACGAGGUAGAAAAAAUGGAGGGGAGGGCUAGUUACUGCGGUAGCUUUUUGCAUCUUCAUUGAAGCUCUUGAGCAGGGUCUGGCCUUCACAAGAAGAUACUGAUAUUUACACUGGAUGAAUAAAAGAGCCGCAAUUGGAGAAAUUGCAUGGGUAAAUUCUGAAGGAUAUGGUUAGCACAACUCAAGACUGAAGAGUGAAUAAUUAAAUAAUAAUAAAAAACUUAUCUCCUCCUCCUUACAUAAGGGAGUGGGACAAUGUCGAUCUGAUGCCUAGAGAUAGAAUUUGUCUUGUUUCAGUAUCAAUCGUUUACCUUGACCAAAUCAAAAUACAGACAAAAAAAAAUCGACAUCACCUUGUUGCUCUCAAAUUAAUUAGAAAAGAAAUUCUGCUCCUCCAAAUUUGUAUCCUACGAAGAUUCUAUUGGAAGGGAAAUAACGGUCGGUCAGAGAUUGGUGGAUGGCUUUUCAUCAAGUUCCAAUCGUAUAUUUUGUCAGCAGGCAGGCAAGGAAAUUUGAGGCAGCUGGUGGCCCCUACUUUGGGUGUUGAAUAAAAAAAAAACACAAAUGAAAAACAUUACAUGUCCUAUUGGCCAUUGGGGGAAUAUCAGGACGACUGCCAGGAAACAAGUAACCCAAACAGUAGUCUACUACACAUGUUUAGAAGAAAUUUCAAGCUUUGACUUGAAUAAAACAUGGAGUAGUUUUGAGUUAUUUAAUAUUGUGCCAAAAAUAUAAAGAGAAGUUAAACUAAAGACAUGUAAAGUAACAUUUUAUGAAACUAAAAUUACUUAUCUUACCUUUGUAUUUUACUAGUACAUUUCAGGAUUUAUAUUUUCCAAGUUAGGCCAAUUUUUCUUUCUUUGAAAAGUUUUUGUCUUGUAAAAAUGUUGAAUUUGAGUAGCCUACUUAAUCAAUCAAUUUGUGUGGCAGCAAAUGUCCUUUCCUAGGAUCUAAUCAAUGACUUAAUUACUCAAAACAUUACAUCAUACAGCUUCUUUUCCAGGAAAGUGUAAGGAAAACAUGGGACUGAAAACUCGGGACUCUUAAUUGAUAAUGAAAGGCCACAAGUAGCAUUUGAUUUGAGGCAAAUUAAGCAAUGGUUAUUAAAUUAAUCAUGACUUGGAGUAUAUUUGUCAAUUCAAAAAAGAAAGAUUCUCUACUUACUUUAUACUAAAAUCCUAUGCUUCUCUAUUAGUAUAAAUUAAUAAAAAAUAAAGUAAAAUACUGUUAUUCUCUUAAUUUUUAAUCAUAAUUCUAGACGAGUCUAUUAAUUUUCAAAAUGAACAUUUUAUCUAAAAAGUGUAAAUAUUGUUAAUAAAAAUUAUAAAAUGACUAAAACACAUUUUCUUUUUUUUUUCUUUCAAACAAUAUGAUCAGUCGACGACAAGAACACCGAUCAAGUUCUCCUUAGGACCCUAGAAGCUCCUCGACUUCUUUUGGCAAAAAAAAAAAUUACAAAAAAAAUAAUAUAAUAAUUUUUAAAAUUAAUAAAAAGUAAAAUUAUCUUUUUAAUAUUGUCACGUCAUCAAACUAACAGAAAUAUUAACAGUUGAUUGAUGGCUAGACCUAUGUGUUUAGGAGAAGAUAUUUUUUAAGAUAAAGUAUUCAUUUUAAAAAUUAAUGAACCCGCUUGGAGUUAUGACUAAAAGUAAAAGUGAGAGUAUUUAUCUUAAAAAUUAUAAUAAUGAAAAAGUAAUAGUAUUAAUUAGGAAGGAUAUGAAGUAACUAUUGCAAAAGCUUUGACCUCAUGUCUUGUUAAUUAAUUAAGGAAACAUUUUGUCUCCUGAUUUUUCCAGGAAACCAAACGCCUCCCUCUUCUAUCCUUGUUUUUCCUUCCUUCUUAUUGCUCCAUAUUAUUUUAUUUUCUUGCACUUGCUUCACAAUCAUAUGGCUUAUUUUAUGUAUGCAACCACAACUCUAAACAUCUUCAACUAGGAUUUUAUAUUGUCUCUUCCAUCCUCUACACCAUCAUAGGCAAAUAUAUCUAUAUCUAAACAUUUGACUCAUUGAUUGGUGCAUGAUCCCCUUACCUAAAAAGCAAAGUUUGAAUCCCCUCUCUCUCAAUUAAAAAAAAAUUCAUAUAUAUAUAUAUAUAUAUAUAUAUAUAUAUUACCCUUAUCCUUUUUCCAUUUUACCCUGAGUCUAGCACCCGCUUAACCAGCUUGACUUCCAAUCUUAGGGACUCACUUUGACUUUGAACAAGGAAUUGAUAACGACCUUUAUCUUUAAUAAUCUCAAUAAUCAAGCAUACUUUUCCUGAGUUGGAAAAUUCGGUGUAGAUGAAAAAUUUGAAUUAAAAUUUUUCGAUACUGACUCAAUUUUUUAAAAGUUUUCCCCAAUUUCAUGAUUAUUUAUUUAAUCGAAUGUACUAAUCAGCCAACAUAUUCAUCCGUUAAAAAUUGGAGCAAAUGUUGGCAUGUUUAGAAACAACCAUGCAUAUGUAUUUGGGACCAUUCUAUGAGUUACUUAUAGAUUAUCUUGAUAUUUUCAAUCCCUAGAUUUUAAAUUUUUUUCUUAAUCAAAGGUAAAUUUUAUUGAGUAUCAAAUGUUUGAUAAGAAAGAUAGCAAGAAAAGGAACAAUAUGUGCCUAGCCCAUUGUUAUUAUGUAGAUUUUAUGUAUUAUUAAUGAACUAAAUAUUUUCACAUAAUUAAUAAAAAAAAUUUAAAGGUUGAGUAGUCUAAAAAAUGAAUACUUAUAAUUCUAAAAAUAUAUAUUUUGAAAUUUUUUUUAAAUUUUUAUCUUUACACAUUUAUAAAGUAAUGUUAUGUAAUUAAAUAAUAAUAUAUAAAUAUUAUACAUUGACGGUAUACUAAAUAUACCUAUAGUGCUAUUUCUUGGAAGUUUUCUCAAAUACAAACCUCAAUAUUAUUUUUUUUUAUAUAUAAAAACGUUAAGCCACCAUCACUGAUAUUGUAACUGCUUAAUUCCAGUGCAACUAUCUCACGGAAGCUGACUAAGUCCAAGGUUGUUUGGGAGUGCCCACCCAAGGGUUGGUUCAAGUUCAAUACCAAUAGGGCAGCUAGGGGUUGUCCGACGCAUCUUGGGAUUGGAGGGGUUCUACGCGACGACACAAGGGCUGUCAAGCUCGUCUUCUCAAAGAAUGCUAGUUAGGGUGAUGCCAAUCUCGAAGAGGUGUUAGCAGUUUAAGAGGCCAUUUUAUAGCCUCCUCCUGGGUGCAUUCUUAUAGCAUUAUCAUUGAAUCUGACUUUAGGAGUGUUGUGUCUUGGGUGUCCGAUCCUACUAAAGCUUCGUCAAGGGUGAGACAACUUAUCCUUCAGAUUUGCUCACUCAAAAAUGCAGUUGCUAGCUGGCAGAUCAGGCAUAUUUCAAGAUCAGUAAUGAGGUUGCUGACAUCCUUGCCAAAUUAGGGGUUGACAGAGUCCAUGAUUUGUUACGCUUUCAGCCUUAAUUGUUGUUGUGACUUUGUGCUUGCGGGGAUUUUUAGGUUAUUGCUUUAGUGUGGAGUUGCUGCCUUUCUCAUUCAUGUGAAGGUAAUGUCUAAUCCGGGGAAUGUCAUGCUUUUGUCAAAUUUGCAAGAGGAGUAAACAUCCAUGAGGGCCAUGUUUCUUACUCUUGUUUAUCAUUUUGCCUAUUUUUGUUUUAGGAUGCGAUUUACUGCUAAGGAGAUAUGAGCACUUUUUUUUGUAUAGUUACAGGUUGUUUCUGGCUAUAUUUUUGUAAGCCAGACUUCCAAUAAGGUCCUGCUCAUUGUGUAUAUGGGAUUUUCCCUUUUGUUAAUGAAGUUUACCAUCUUUAAUUUUCCAAAAAAAAAAAAAAGGUUUAAGCCUCGUCAUUAUUUCAGUCAUAGUCGAAGAAACAACUUAACUAUUUGCAUGCAUUACACAUUACAUCAGGCUUAAACCAACAAUAUGACUCCGUGCGACUCCUUUGCUUGUAAUGGGGACAAAUAGGGAAUCUUGUUAUCCUGUUCUAAACUUUUCUUCCCUGUGAGUUUCCUCUUUCUUUAUCCUUGACUUCACUCACAUAUUUCUUAGUUGAAGCUUCUGCAUGUGCCUUUUCCCUUCAUUCAAAUAGUAAAGGCAAGAUCAACUUUUUCAUUUUUCCUAGCAACUUUCCUUUAUUCAUCAACUUCUAAAACAUUCACCAAAUCUGAUAUAGAGCUCUGUGAGAUGUCUUUCACUUGUUCCAAAGAAGAAACUGUGGCAUCAAACCUUUUAGGUAAACUGGUAAGGACUUUCUCCACAACCUUAGCAUCAGAUAAAGUCUCUCUCAACAGUCGAAUUGGAUUUUCCAGCUUCAUCACUGCAUUAAUGAAUUCUUGCACAGUCUGACUUUCUCUCAUCCUCAGAAGUUCAUAUUGCCUUCUGAAGUUCUGUAGAUGAAUUGGCUUGUUUAUGGCAGACCCCAAAAGUUCUUCUUCAAGUUUGUUCCAACCCUGUUUUGCUGUCUCACAUCCCAUAAUCAGGCUGAAAACGGACUCUGUAACAGCUGAGUGUAUGAAGGAUAAGGCUCUGAAUUUCUUUGCAAUAUCCUCUUCAUAUUGCUUCACCUAUGUUAGUGUGGCAUUAUCUCUCAAUGCUGGUACAUCUGUCUCAUUUUCAACUGCAUUCCAUAGAUUGACACCUUUCAAGAAUGCUUUCAUUCUAAUGGCCCAAACAAGAUAGUUAGAGGCAUUGAAAAUGGGCGUAGUUUGACAUUUUGAUGAAGAAUAAACUUGUGAUGAGUGAGAAAGAGGUUUUAAUUGGCUCACAGAUUGGUUAUCUGCUUUGAUAUCAUGUCAUGAAGCUAAAAAAAGAUGAUAAAAAUAGUAUUAUAUACUGUUCUGUAGAAAAAGGAAAAACAUAGAGCAAGCUGGAGAAGGAAAGAUGCUUCAUUAAUUACUAAACAGAUAAUAUAUAUAUACAAGCAUCAUAUGGUUAACAACUGUUUACAAAGUGUACAAGUGUUAUUAACUAAAACAUGCACUAAAACACCUUAUAAACACUGGUAUAAUAUUCUUAAUAACUAGUACAAUGAAGCAAAAUACAUAGUAAAAAACAAAAUGAUAAAGUUAAUGCAUGCUUUAACUCUAACUUGUACAUCAAUUUAUAUUCUUCAUUACCGACGUUGUCACUGGAGCAAAGGGGAAUAUCUACACCAAUUAUUCUCUGGGGCCAUUUGUAGUGUUACCAAGCUCAAUAGAAUGUCUUUCAGGAAAAGGGAAUAUCUCCGGAGAAGCUGUAACGCUUGGGGUAAUAUCACCAUUUUCAGCUACUCUUCGUUGAUCUGCCAAGAACACAAAGUCUGGCUCUGUUUGGUUUGAGUAGCUUGAUGGACUUGGUGGGCAGUUAGUGUUUGGUGAGUCUCCUGCAACACUAAUACUAUGAACACUAUCAUUUCUGCUUUUGUCUUCGAGUUCGCUUUUUCUGAAAGUAUGGGAGCUAAGGUCUUUUUGGUCGAAAAUUCUUGACAUGAUCUGAAUUCUUCUCCAGAAAGGAGUUUCAGAAUCAAAAUGCAACAAGACAUGCCUUUGCUCAUAAAAAAAUAUUGCUGCAAAUAUGAUUAGAGCUGAUAUUGAGGCGACUCCAGCAAUAAGGAACAAGCCCCCAAAACUCUCAACACCAAGACUGUUGGAAGAAACCAAAGUGUUGAGGUCAGGACAACUGCUUCC
RNAcentral lists this long non-coding RNA (9809 nucleotides) under Theobroma cacao (cacao). Its description in RNAcentral is "long non-coding RNA (TCAC_LNC005045)". Lineage: Eukaryota; Viridiplantae; Streptophyta; Magnoliopsida; Malvales; Malvaceae. The record is from RNAcentral.